GGGAAUCAAAGUCGCUGAAUCGCGAAUGAGUAAAUCGAACUAUUGUGAGGAAUCGAUUCUCGGGGCUUUCCGAGUUUCAGUUGAAGACUCAGCUGAUUCACAGCGAGGCUACCUGGGUCCUCUCUACCUGAUGGAGGUUGAUUUUGUGGGCGUGGCCACGGCGUUGGUUGCCGUGGCAACGGCGGCUGCCUUUCUCAUCUGGUACCAGCGUCGCCAUGGCAACCGCUCUGGCCUGUCCCACCGUGCCCACCGUGAGCCCACCACGGCCUUCCUGGACCUCUGGGAAUCUCUCUCUGUCUGUGUGUC
Non-coding RNA from Petromyzon marinus (sea lamprey), 306 nucleotides. The record is from RefSeq and is a predicted model, not a curated record. NCBI's taxonomy places the organism in Eukaryota, Metazoa, Chordata, Hyperoartia, Petromyzontiformes, Petromyzontidae.